Phrynosoma platyrhinos (Desert horned lizard) is the source of this 72-nucleotide non-coding RNA. Lineage: Eukaryota; Metazoa; Chordata; Lepidosauria; Squamata; Phrynosomatidae. The record is from the annotation of a GenBank genome assembly.
GCCAUAAUAACUCAGUGGUUUGGGUGUUGGACUAUGAUUCUGAAGACCAGGGUUCAAAUCCCACCUUGGGCA